RNAcentral lists this long non-coding RNA (737 nucleotides) under Mus spicilegus (steppe mouse). Its description in RNAcentral is "lncRNA (ENSMSIG00000012254.1)". Lineage: Eukaryota; Metazoa; Chordata; Mammalia; Rodentia; Muridae. The record is from RNAcentral.
CUCUCUCUCUCUCUCUCUCUCUGUGCCUGACGUCCCUGUUUGUCAAUCUACAACUCCGUGUCCAGGACUCUCAAGAUCGUUUCAUUAACUGUGGGAAGUUGAGACUUUCCCUUUCAACCUCUGCUCUGUAACAUCAAAGACCACCCUGAUCUCCACACUCUUAAGAAAGUGGGGGCUUCUUUCCCUCAGGAUCUAUAUAUGUUAUUCUCUGGCAAGAACCCUCAGCUCCUGUUUGUCAUUUUCAAGUCCCUGCUUCAGGUCUGUAUAACUAUUACAGUCUAAUCAAUGGUUCCCUAUUCUCCAACUGUCACUUCAUUUUUCUUUCUCAUGGGUCUUCUUUCCAGGACACAAAACUCUUUGGUCUUCCCAUGGGCAGAACUUGGCAGAGCCCCCAGAGGACCAGCCCUCACGCAAGAUACCUGGGACAGCAUGAAGAUUGAAAGCUCUUGAAAACUUGUCUUGUUGAUGCUUUCCAAGAGCUUGCAUCAUCUCUCAUUCUCAGGAAAUACUGGUGAAUUAAUAUAUGCAAGAGUCUGCUUUGAUGCACAUCCCUGGGGCUUCAGACACAGCACAAAUCAAGGAACCUUGGAGAGUCCAGCUGAUGGGAUCAAAUCACAUAUUGGUAUCAAAGUCAUCUCCAGGAAGAGAAAUAAACAAGGGGGUCAUCAAACUUUUGGCAUUAGAAAAGAAAUCUAAUAAAGAGACUAAUGAAGUGUUCUGGGCAAAAUGAGAAUCAG